AGCGCUGUGGUGUAGUUUGGAUAACACGCUGGGCUCAUAACCCAGAGACCCAUGGUUCAAAUCCAUGCGGCGCUACCA
Molecule: transfer RNA, 78 nt
Filed under: Methanobacteriota archaeon
Lineage: Archaea; Methanobacteriati; Methanobacteriota
Also listed under: 1 other name
Description: Euryarchaeota archaeon tRNA-Met
Rfam family: tRNA
About the family: Transfer RNA (tRNA) molecules are approximately 80 nucleotides in length. Their secondary structure includes four short double-helical elements and three loops (D, anti-codon, and T loops).
Source: RNAcentral